CGAAGUAUGGCGUCUGAACGACCUCAAUACCGACCAAGCACAGGCCAUCCACACACUCCUGACGGGGCUUGACUUCGAUGUGUGGAGUCACGGCAGGGACUGGCUCGACGUCAGGGUUCCCCCGCACCUCGCCCGCCCUCUUCAGCGUCGCCUGCAGGAGCUCUCCGUUCCCCAUUCGGUCCUGAUUGAUGACGUUCAGAAGAAAAUCGACGAAGAGAGAAGAGUCUUGGAGAAAUCUCAAG
Penaeus vannamei (Pacific white shrimp) is the source of this 242-nucleotide non-coding RNA. The record is from RefSeq and is a predicted model, not a curated record. Lineage: Eukaryota; Metazoa; Arthropoda; Malacostraca; Decapoda; Penaeidae.